UACGAAGGGGGCUAGCGUUGUUCGGAAUUACUGGGCGUAAAGCGCACGUAGGCGGACUCUUAAGUCAGGGGUGAAAUCCCGGGGCUCAACCUCGGAACUGCCUUUGAUACUGUGAGUCUCGAGACCGGAAGAGGUGAGUGGAAUUCCUAGUGUAGAGGUGAAAUUCGUAGAUAUUAGGAAGAACACCAGUGGCGAAGGCGGCUCACUGGUCCGGUUCUGACGCUGAUGUGCUAAAGCGUGGGGAUCAAACAGG
Molecule: ribosomal RNA, 253 nt
Filed under: uncultured bacterium
Lineage: Bacteria
Description: partial 16S ribosomal RNA
Rfam family: Bacterial small subunit ribosomal RNA
Source: RNAcentral